CUGAUUGUACAUGCGCACAAAAUUGUGUUUACUGUCUGCAUAAAUUUCGUUUCUAUAAAAAUACGUAUAACAUAUUCUAUUUGCGGUUCGUCUGACAAAGUUUUUUUUAAUAUAGUAUCUUUAUCACAAAAAAUAUAACAGAAAAGUUGAAUUUGUCACUCUGUUGAUUCCAAUGUAUAAAAUGAGAUAAAUUAUUGAUAUGAAAAUUUGCAACUUGUUGCUUAAUUUUCAAAAUUUGUGGUACGGUAAUCGUUAAUAUCAUGCAGCUUCAUUCAGAUGAUAUAUACCUACUUUUACAUGUACCUUGUUAAUUGAGUAAGACUAAGGAUUACCAAAAUAUCGUACCUGCUUUUCGUAUCGAAGACAAAUCUGCAAGGAAAAAUAAUUAAUGAUGGAGGUGUUGAAAUUCAUUAUUUUAACUUGGCUCGCAAGCUUCGUACCUGCAGCAUAUUGCCAAAUGGGAAAUUUUAGCGAAGAAGCGAUUUGUAACAUCACCAUCUUUAACGAACGUGGCAAUCCUCGAACUGUAUUAAAGGUAUUGCAAUUUAAAAUGAUAGACAGGUGUCCCGAAAAUUACACAAAUGAAACUAUCAUUACUAGUUGCGAACAUUUCAACGCUUUGGAAAGUUUAAAUUUAAUAAGAGACUUUUUCCGUCCAGUAACAGACAACAUUACAAACAUUACCUACGUGAAUCAAUAUUGUGCCCAUUGUAAUAACUACGAGUACACUUUUGGUUCUAAUUGGGCCUGGACGUGGGGUACUUGGUCUCCGUAUUCAUAUCUGAGAAACGCAUGCGAAAACUACACUUCCGAAAUGAAGGCAUCGGAGGUCAAUGACCUUGACAAAUGGACGCAGACUUUUAUAAACAAGGGAAUGACACUGAAAUCCUCAACAUAUCUCAAAGUCAAAGAGUUGGAGUGUUCUGGGAAAAAGAACUGGCCAAUAAAGUUAUUAGACUAUGCGAUUCCUUGUUUAGUGGAAAAUUUUGAAUAUGGUCAAGAGGACAGAUUGAAGUCGUGUCAGUAUUUCGAUAAAAAUGACAGAAGUUGCAUGAAAAUGAGGUUCAUUAUCGAACCGUUCUCUAUUUACUAUGGUUCCCAUUUUUACGAGCAUUUAUCACAAAUAAAUCUAACCGGAGGUGAUUAUAUCGUCGAAACCGUAAAUCAAGACAUAUUCUACAUGUGUAGACAAAUUUACCAAGCUGGAUAUUGGGGUAAAAUUUUACGCAUCUUUAUUUCUAUUGCAUUUCUGUGUGCUUAUCUAAUCAUGAAUUAUAAUAAGCGGUAUUUUGAAAUUUUAUCAAACCAACUGUUGUAUGUCUACUCAAUAGGAUUGAUAAUAAUGAGUGUACUGCUUACCUACAUCUAUUUGAAAUUUCCGGUUUCCAAUGUAUCUCUCUAUCUCGUUAAAAUUUUUUGGACUUAUCACUUUCUCUGUACGGUGUUAAAUUUUAUUGUAUUUUGUAAUUUAGCGUUCUGCAAGUGCAUUCAGUGGGAAAAUAUAACCAAAGGGUAUACAAAUACCUGCUAUUUAUCAAUUCUUUUCGUUGUUGGCCUCCUAUUACCCGUAUCUUUUCCCCUAAUGUAUCUCUACUUCUUAAGUACUUAUGAAAAUCAGUGUCCUCUAAUUCCUGGGCAUACGGCUGUGCCAGUCGUAUCUCCUGGAAAUUUAGAGUUUAUGAAAUUCGUCUUAGAUACGAGCUUAUCUUACUUAAUGCCUAUAAUGUUUGUUGUGGGGUUACUUUGCUCACUGAUUGAUAUGUCAUGUGAUCCUGGUGAAGUAAGAUCUUUCAAAAUGGUGUUGAUUAUGGGUAUCCAUUGUAUACUGUAUAAACUUUAUUCAGGGUAUUAUGGGAAUGAAAACACGUAUACUGUUAUUGGUCUAUCCAUAAAUAUGGAUAUGGUGGCACAGUUCAGUAUUGAUAUUCACGGUGUGCUUGUAUUUUUCGUUUUCUUAACUGAGAAUACUAUGGUUAAUGAUAUUUUGAUAAAACAUGGAUACAAACGGGGAAAUACUACCCAACAGAAUUGUAAUGGUGCGACAGAAACAACUGUACAAUUUCAGUCUUAAUGUGAGACUAAAGUCGUGUUUUUCUCAAAUAAUGUUCCAAUUGCCAGUUAUUGAUAAACGUAUUAUUGUUACCCUUACCCAGGUACUACAUUUUAUUCUAAGUAAAAAUAUGUAAUAUGCCAUGAAGGUGAACCUGAAAAAAAUAAAUAUAACUUGUAGGCAGUAGGUACCUAGACCUAACUAAUUUUACAAUGACGAGUGAAAACAUUUUUGGAACUAAUUAAUACCCAAACGGUGUACCUAUCUGAAAAAAAAAAGUUUAAAAAGAUACCUUGAUAUAUUGACAGUUUUUCAAAUAACGAACCAUUUGGGACUGGUGGGGGGGGGGGUGGUCAAUCAUUGAUUAUUUCCAUGUUAUCAAUAAAUAUAAAAAAAAAUUAUUUUUUAUAAUUUUGAAAAUUAGAAAAGAACUACAGAGUGGCCCAAAAGUCGGUAUCUCGAUCUUCACGUUUUAGUUUUUCUUAUUAAAAAAAAAUCAAAAACCAAGCAUCCUAGAAAAAAACUAACAAAAUCAUGUCGAUUCGAAAUUUAAUUCUCUGCAACUUUGUUUACGUGAAAUUUUUUUUGGACGCUUCCUUUCGCCUCCAGAUCAAUUUUUGUGACUUGUUGAUUUUUAUGAAAAAAUUGACAAAAGUUCAUUUCUAAGAGUUUUAGUUUUUCUUUAUAAAAUCAAAAACUAAGCAUCCUAGAAAAAAACUAACGACGUUAUGACGAUUGGAAAUUUAAUUCUCUACAAUUUUCCUCGACUUGAUUUUUUCGUAGGAUGCUUCUUUUCAUCUCCAGAUCUAUUUUAAUGAAAUUUAGCUUGCAAAUUUUUCGAAAAUAUUAGUUUUUUGUAAAAAAAAAUCAAAAACUAAGCAUCUUAGAAAAAACUAACGACAUAAUGUCAAUUGGAAAUUUGAUUCUCUACAACUUUGUCACCAUGAAAUUUCCUGAGGGCAGCAAUUUGUGCGGAAUUUGCUGUUUUAAACAACAACUUGCCAUUGUUAAGAAGGAUGAUUCAAGGCCAAUGAACGACGGUACCUAGCCUGCAUUGAAGCAGGAGGUGCUCAAAUUUUGAGCACCUUUUGUGAUCGUUCAUUUCUUUUUUACCAUUUUUUUUUACAAUUGUUAUAAUUUUUUAAAAAUUUUAGAUUAGGAUUUAAAAUUUUUAACAAAUUGCCAAAUGGAAAUAAAAAAGUAAAAGAAUUGAAUUUUUCAAAAGUUCAUUUCAAAAUUUCCAAUUGCUAGAAUGUUAUUAGUUUUUUUCUAGGAUGCUUAGUUUUUGAUUUUUGUCAAAAAAUUAAGAGUCUAAAAUUUUUUGAGAUGAACUUUUGAAAAAUUUGCCAAGUGUGCUUCACAAAAAUUCAUCUGGAAGCGAAAGAAAGCGUCCAAAAAAAAUUUCAUGAUUACAAAGUUGUAGAGAAUUAAAUUUCCAAUCGACAUAAUGUCAUUAGUUUUUUUUUAGGGUGCUUAUUUUUGGAUUUUUUAUAGAAAAACUAAAACUCUUAGAAAUGAACUUUUGACAGUUUUUUUAAAUAAAAAUCAUCGAGUCACAAAAAUCGAUCUGGAAGCGAAAGGAAGCGUUCAAAAAAAUAUCAUUGCAACAAAGUUGUAGAGAAUUAAAUUUUAAAUCGAUAUGAUGUCGUUAGUUUUUUUCUAGGAUGCUUAGUUUUUGAUUUUUUAAAGAAAUAAAAUAAAAAUGUACGUACCAGUAUUUGUUUUAAGAUACUUUGCGUUUAUAAGGUGACAUUUUUGUACUUAUCUAUGUAUUGAUUUUUGUGUACUUACUUAGGUAUAUUUUUGAUUUACAUAUUUGUAUUUUGUUUUAUUGUUGUUUUCUAUUUUAUUUUUUUACACAAUAUAAUACAUGCAAUUUCUUU
Planococcus citri (citrus mealybug) is the source of this 3933-nucleotide long non-coding RNA. RefSeq lists it as uncharacterized. Lineage: Eukaryota; Metazoa; Arthropoda; Insecta; Hemiptera; Pseudococcidae. The transcript is spliced from 2 exons. The record is from RefSeq and is a predicted model, not a curated record.